UAGCCUUGACAUUGAAGAAACACACUAGAGAUAGAGUGGUACCCUUCGGGGAAUCUGAAAACAGGUGCUGCACGGCUGUCGUCAGCUCGUGUCGUGAGAUGUUGGGUUAAGUCCCGCAACGAGCGCAACCCUCGUCCUUAGUUGCCAGCAGGUUAAGCUGGGCACUCUAAGGAGACUGCCUUCGUAAGGAGGAGGAAGGUGAGGACGACGUCAAGUCAUCAUGGCCCUUAUGGCUAGGGCUACACACGUGCUACAAUGGAUAGGAUAAAAAGAAGCGAUACGGUGACGUGGAGCAAAUCUCAAAACCUAUUCUCAGUUCGGAUUGUAGUCUGCAACUCGACUACAUGAAGUUGGAAUCGCUAGUAAUCGUGGAUCAGCCAUGCCACGGUGAAUACGUUCCGCGGGUCU
This 408-nucleotide ribosomal RNA is filed under the name uncultured bacterium. RNAcentral's name for it is "bacterial SSU rRNA". It matches the Rfam family "Bacterial small subunit ribosomal RNA", at positions 976 to 1381 of the family's 1533-position model. The record is from RNAcentral.